UACGUAGGGAGCAAGCGUUGUCCGGAUUUAUUGGGCGUAAAGAGCUCGUAGGCGGCUUAGCAAGUCAGGUGUGAAACCUCCAGGCUCAACCUGGAGACGCCACUUGAUACUGCUAUGGCUUGAGUUCGGUAGGGGAAGACGGAAUUCCUGGUGUAGCGGUGAAAUGCGCAGAUAUCAGGAGGAACACCGAUGGCGAAGGCAGUCUUCUGGGCCGAUACUGACGCUGAGGAGCGAAAGCGUGGGGAGCGAACAGG
This 254-nucleotide unclassified non-coding RNA is filed under the name uncultured Acidimicrobiia bacterium. RNAcentral describes it as "contains 16S-23S intergenic spacer region". It matches the Rfam family "Bacterial small subunit ribosomal RNA", at positions 524 to 776 of the family's 1533-position model. Lineage: Bacteria; Bacillati; Actinomycetota; Acidimicrobiia. The record is from RNAcentral.